UACGGAGGGGACAAGCGUUGCUCGGAAUUACUGGGCGUAAAGCGAGCGUAGGCGGUUAAUCAAGUUGGUGGUGAAAGCCCAGAGCUUAACUCUGGAACUGCCAUCAAAACUGAUUGACUUGAGAUUGGUAGAGGAAAAUGGAAUUCCUAGUGUAGAGGUGAAAUUCGUAGAUAUUGGGAAGAACACCAGUGGCGAAGGCGAUUUUCUGGGCCAAUUCUGACGCUGAGGUUCGAAAGCGUGGGUAGCAAACAGG
RNAcentral lists this ribosomal RNA (253 nucleotides) under uncultured bacterium. RNAcentral's name for it is "partial 16S ribosomal RNA". It matches the Rfam family "Bacterial small subunit ribosomal RNA", at positions 524 to 776 of the family's 1533-position model. The record is from RNAcentral.